RNAcentral lists this transfer RNA (84 nucleotides) under Lepisorus fortuni. Its description in RNAcentral is "tRNA-Tyr". It matches the Rfam family "tRNA". Rfam says of the family: Transfer RNA (tRNA) molecules are approximately 80 nucleotides in length. Their secondary structure includes four short double-helical elements and three loops (D, anti-codon, and T loops). Lineage: Eukaryota; Viridiplantae; Streptophyta; Polypodiopsida; Polypodiales; Polypodiaceae. The record is from RNAcentral.
UGGGUCGAUGCCCGAGCGGUUAAUGGGGACGGACUGUAAAUCCGCUGGCGACGCCUACGCUGGUUCGAAUCCAGCUCGACCCAA